GCGAACGCUGGCGGCAGGCUUAACACAUGCAAGUCGAGCGGGCAUCUUCGGAUGUCAGCGGCAGACGGGUGAGUAACACGUGUGAACGUACCCUUCGGUUCGGAACAACUCUGGGAAACUGGAGCUAAUACCGGAUACGCCCUUAUGGGGAAAGGUUUACUGCCGAAGGAUCGGCCCGCGUCUGAUUAGCUAGUUGGUGGGGUAACGGCCUACCAAGGCGACGAUCAGUAGCUGGUCUGAGAGGAUGAUCAGCCACACUGGGACUGAGACACGGCCCAGACUCCUACGGGAGGCAGCAGUGGGGAAUAUUGGACAAUGGGCGCAAGCCUGAUCCAGCCAUGCCGCGUGAGUGAUGAAGGCCUUAGGGUUGUAAAGCUCUUUUGUCCGGGACGAUAAUGACGGUACCGGAAGAAUAAGCCCCGGCUAACUUCGUG
Molecule: ribosomal RNA, 434 nt
Filed under: uncultured bacterium
Lineage: Bacteria
Description: partial 16S ribosomal RNA
Rfam family: Bacterial small subunit ribosomal RNA
Source: RNAcentral